GACGAACGCUGGCGGCGUGCUUAACACAUGCAAGUCGAACGGUAAGGCCCUUCGGGGUACACGAGUGGCGAACGGGUGAGUAACACGUGGGUGAUCUGCCCUGCACUUCGGGAUAAGCCUGGGAAACUGGGUCUAAUACCGGAUAGGACCACUGCCUGCAUGGGUGGUGGUGGAAAGCUUUUGCGGUGUGGGAUGGGCCCGCGGCCUAUCAGCUUGUUGGUGGGGUGAUGGCCUACCAAGGCGACGACGGGUAGCCGGCCUGAGAGGGUGACCGGCCACGCGGUGACUGUGAUACGGCCCUGACUCCUACUGCAGGCAGCAGUGGGGAAUAUUGCACUAUGGGCGCAAGCCUGAUGCAGCGACGCCGCGUGAGGGAUGACGGACUUCGGGUUGUAAACCUCUUUCAGCACCGACGAAGCGCAAGUGACGGUAGGUGCAGAAGAAGGACCGGCCAACUACGUGCCAGCCGCCGCAGUAA
RNAcentral lists this ribosomal RNA (478 nucleotides) under uncultured bacterium. RNAcentral describes it as "partial 16S ribosomal RNA". It matches the Rfam family "Bacterial small subunit ribosomal RNA", at positions 28 to 523 of the family's 1533-position model. The record is from RNAcentral.